Molecule: ribosomal RNA, 399 nt
Filed under: uncultured bacterium
Lineage: Bacteria
Description: bacterial SSU rRNA
Rfam family: Bacterial small subunit ribosomal RNA
Source: RNAcentral
CAGCAGCCGCGGUAAUACAGAGGAUGCAAGCGUUAUCCGGAAUGAUUGGGCGUAAAGCGUCUGUAGGUGGCUUUUCAAGUCCGCCGUCAAAUCCCAGGGCUCAACCCUGGACAGGCGGUGGAAACUACCAAGCUGGAGUACGGUAGGGGCAGAGGGAAUUUCUGGUGGAGCGGUGAAAUGCAUUGAGAUCGGAAAGAACACAAACGGCGAAAGCACUCUGCUGGGCCGACACUGACACUGAGAGACGAAAGCUAGGGGAGCAAAUGGGAUUAGAGACCCCAGUAGUCCUAGCCGUAAACGAUGGAUACUAGGUGCUGUGCGACUCGACCCGUGCAGUGCUGUAGCUAACGCGUUAAGUAUCCCGCCUGGGGAGUACGUUCGCAAGAAUGAAACUCAAAG